AAUCAGAUAUGGCAUAAUAUUUAUGCCUUUCUGCCCACCAACAGAUGCCGUACAAUGUUAUAUUUUCAUUUUAAUUCCUAGUUUUUGUGGCUGACGUCUUAGGCGUGAAUUAAGGUCAAAGGUGACGAGCUCACAGUCAAUCUGCAUGUAAUCACCAAACCUUUCCAUGUUUGAGCACCUGUCUCUCACUCUAAUCUGUGUUCUUGUAUCCCAUCCAAUUUAGCCUUUGUCCAGGUCUAAUCGAUGAUGAAUCUGUGGUAAAAUGGCCAUGAUAAGGGGCUAAAGACGCUCUCAACACAACCCAGCCCCCCACUCCCCCGUUAGCACCACACACAGGGUUUUUAGAGAUAACAAUCAGGGGUAAUGACAGGCAAGUUCGUGGGGGGGGGGGGGGGGCUUGUAGCGGUUUGAAGGGGUCUUAGUUCAGUAAUGACUUCUCUACCACCCCCUUCAUCUUUAACAGCACAGCAAUUAGCCAAUGAUACAGAGGUAGCCAGUGAUUUCUGGAGUUUCGAACAAUUGAACUCAUGUUUGAACAGCUCUCAGCUGGUAUGUUGUGAAUUUAUUGGAUCGCAUCGUUCGGUCUGCGCCUGGCAGCUUAUGUUGUAUGUUUUGAAUGUUCAUUGCCUAUGAAAAUGUCUUAGGAUUCUUAAUUGUUUUGAUACGGAAGCACCAAUAAAAGCAUUUCAUAACACUU
This is a long non-coding RNA of Rhinichthys klamathensis goyatoka, 697 nucleotides long. RefSeq lists it as uncharacterized. NCBI's taxonomy places the organism in Eukaryota, Metazoa, Chordata, Actinopteri, Cypriniformes, Leuciscidae. The record is from RefSeq and is a predicted model, not a curated record. The transcript is spliced from 2 exons.